This is a long non-coding RNA of Misgurnus anguillicaudatus (oriental weatherfish), 702 nucleotides long. RefSeq lists it as uncharacterized. Lineage: Eukaryota; Metazoa; Chordata; Actinopteri; Cypriniformes; Cobitidae. The record is from RefSeq and is a predicted model, not a curated record.
CAUGUUUGGAUAGCAAGGCCUACCCAUUGAAUUUAAACAUUGUGACUUUAACCUCUGACCUCUGCUUUUCUCAUCCAGAUACUGUAAUUUCUUGGUGCUUGUUGCAUUCUGAACAUUUUUAGCUUUCCUAAUGUCAUGUAACAUUAAAGUUUUAGCCUUUGACUCAUGUUUGGAUAGCAAGGCCUACCCAUUGCAUUUAAACAUUGUGACUUUAACCUCUGACCUAUGCUUUCCUCAUCCAGAUACUGUAAAAUCUUGGUGCUCGUUGCAUUAUGCAUGUGUUUAGCUUAACUAAUUUCAUUUAUAAUGUAAGUUUACAGCCUGUGACUCAUGGUUGGAUAGCAAGGCCUACCUAUUGCAUUAAACAGUGUGACUUUAACCUCUGAAAUAUACUUUUCUCAUUCAGACACCCACCAUGAGCCACACAAGUGCAAUCAUGGAGGAGAUUGCGGUGGAGCUGAAGGAAUUUCUUAUGCCCAUGGACAUUCCUGGCAUGCAGUCAGAGGGCCUUCCGAGAACUGGCCUUUUCUCAAGUUAUCGCCCUGAAGAUGACUCCGUGGAUCCUCUCCAGUGUGGUUAGAUGGGCCUGGGGCAACAGUCCUCCACACUGAAGGCUAUUUAAUUGUUUUUAUUUAUCUAUGUCAUUGUUUAUCUAUUUAAAACUGUAUCUUGUGUUUUAAUAAAGUUUAAAAUGUGUUUUAA